This 147-nucleotide small RNA is filed under the name Caenorhabditis elegans. RNAcentral's name for it is "Unclassified non-coding RNA ZK484.17". The record is from RNAcentral. Lineage: Eukaryota; Metazoa; Nematoda; Chromadorea; Rhabditida; Rhabditidae.
AACAUCAAAAGCUGGAACAUCCAGCUCAGGUGAAAACCAAAAGUUUUGAGGAUGCUGCGUUUGAAAUGCUUUCGACGGUCAGUCCAAUCAAAUUGCCACGCGACGAGAUUCCAUUCGAUUCUGUCAGAGAAAUAGUUCUUGGAGAGG